AGAAAAGCAGGAGAAAGAAAGGGCAAGGUCAUUGAUGCUAGAGAAGAGCCGGAGGGAUGGAACUCUACUGAAGGACAAGGGUUUCCAGAGGAGGUGACGCUGCAAAUUUUGCUCGGUUUAGACUUUUGAUCGUACUUAUAUGUAGAGCUUGCCUUAUGGCUGAUUGGGAGAGUUGGUUUGGCAAGAUUUGGAUUCUAAGGCCCUGUUUUCAGAGGUUUCCGCCCCCCUUGUGCAGUUCUCCAAUCUACAGUUGCCUUGCGAAAUAGGCUCCCGUCGAGAUGCGAACGCUUCACUUAAGAUUCUGUUCGAGAAAGAAUGGACUGGUUCGCCUGUCCUUUUCAAAUCCUGGAGACGAUCAAUGGAUAAUCACAGCUUGUAAAUGUCUAUUCCUUUUUAGUUUGGCUUUCUUGGUCAUUAUUGCAUUAUAUUGGAAUGAUAUCACUUCGAUCCUUCUGCAAGUUACUCCAGUUCAUGUCAUUGUCCAUGACUUCAUCAUAUUGACCCGUGAAUUCCUGGGUCAAAGUAAUGAAAAGAGUUGUUGAGCCAUCGCGCCUCGAGUACUUUUCUUUGCUGGGUUAAUUCCAGUUCUUAACUUCAUCAUCCAUCUUACUAAGCACAUUGUACAAACUAGAUUCCCAAUAACAUUGCAGAGAUCCGUUUCAAUCUAUUUCAUCCUGUAACUCCCACAAUUUCUGAUACACUGUCUGUGCAAGUCAGGGCUGAGAUUUAUUUGGUUACGAUGGGAUGGCGACUGAACUUACUUGGAAACUAAAAGUUAUGUCUGCAUUUUUCCGAUGCGUAAGCUAUAAUACAAUAUUCUUACUAGCAAUUUCUUAAUGAGAAGGGGACAAAGAAGGUUGUUUCAGAUAAGAUUCGAAGAAAAGCAUGGUAUUCUCAGAGUCACAAACAGCAUGCGAGGGACGUAGGUGUCGUUCUUGGUACCUGCAGCGAUCCUAAUUGGCCCCAAAGGUGCCGCCCGUCUCUUUUUUUAUGGCAGGCUUAGCUCACGCGAGAGGUUAAAGUGAAGAAGACCGAAUCUGCAAUAGCUCAUUGUCGUUGUUUAAUGAAUAUUUAACGAGAGAUGAACCAUGCCAUGACGAUCUCUUGAAAGCUAACUUGCCUAAUCUGAAUAGAUUAAUCCCCGUCUCCUCCAGUCAGGCAAGGGCUUCUCGUUGUUUAAAUGGAGUCAAAGAUAAUAGCGGGCAGAAAUGAAAUUGGGUCGUUUGCGUGUUCUAGGCUGGAACAACAACAUUGUUAGGUAUAAACGGUAUGUGCGACUCAUAGACGAGUUGGUUCUUCCAUAGCCAAUGAUGGAGGCUUGAAGAGAAGGGCAGGAAACUGGGGAAGCACAGAGCAUAGGAUUGCCGCUUGAUAGACGAAUGAAGAAACUCCCGCGGCAAUGUCUACUGAAUUACGAGAACUUGACGCUUCCUCCGGUAGGUAACAGCGGAAGAUCAUGCCGCUGUUUUGUUCUGAACAUGUUCCUUUUUUGGGUUUUGUUCUUUACCGUUUUCGUUCUAUUCAUCUUCAGGCAAUCCUUUUCCUUAUUCUUGUUUUUGCUUUUCGAAUCAGAUUUGAAUGAUCGAUUAUUGCAAAUUCCUUGUGCUUAGUUUCAGGUAGUAGUGAUGACAGCCAACGUGGGAUGUGCUCGUUGCCGGGAGAGAGUCUCGCAAGUCAUUUCAAGGAUGGACGGUGAGAUCCUUAUCCUCGCUUUCAUAGCAUAAUUUUACAGCAGAAGUGAACAUCAUCAAAAGAAAUUCAUGAGUGAGAAUCUGCUCUCGACACAGUCGUCUUCAUGACGUUAAAUGCAACAUUUAGAGUUUGACGAUCAUCUAGAGCGUACAAAUUGAUUCAUUGCAGUAAUGCUCUCGAACAGGUUAUAUCUGAUUGGGAAAAAUAUAGAAAGAUCAAGCUCCCCAGAUUUGCCUUUUAUUAGAUUUCUGUCGAGAUGAAUUAGUAAUGCCCACUGCCUGUUGAUUAGUCAUAUCAUAUAACCUGCGGCAAGUGUCGAGAGUGGAAAUUUAUGGAGCCCGCGUGGUGAUUUGCAGGAGUGCGUGAAUACACAGUAGAUAUUCGAAAUGAACGAGUGAUCGUAAAGGGGGAUUUCAAGGUCGAAAGGGAGGUCCCAGAUGAAUCGGCCGACCUCCAAAUCAAGAAAGAGGAAGAACAUCAACUCCGCCUCCUCUUCAGAUACUUCAGAACCAGUUGCUUAGGCAAAUACUUUGGCCAUUGAACGUAAUUUCAAUUCGUGCGUAUUACUGUAUGGUAGCAAAUUGAAUUGUUUGCAGGUCGCGGUUUGUAUAUAUCAAGUGAAACGCUGUCCAGCCGAGACUUUCUCCUCAAAACAGAGCAAUGCACAUUCUAGGUGGCAAAUGCCAAUUCUCUACCGCAAAUUAACGCCAAGUUUCGAGUUCCAGUUUAGUCCUUCAAGAUUAGUCCUUUCCACUCUCCAAUUCAAUGCAUUUCCAUUUCGAACGAGGACCCGCGCACGAAAUUCACUGAAAUUACGACUAUGCAUGGAGAAAAGCAGAGAUAGCCCCCAUAGUUGAUCCGCUUCGAAUCUCCCUGCUCGACUGAAAUACCAUCUUUGCUUUUUCCAGAGCAAAUCCCAAUAUCCGUUGCAAACAAGAUGGAAAACACCCAAAUGACCACUAACUCAGUUUGUCAGAUAUCUCCGAUUUUCAUCGAAGAAAAACAUCGUCUGUGAAAGGCUUUACAAAAAGACAGGACUCAGUAACUCGUCAAGAAGCGAAGCAAGCGGAAGAGCCACGCAUCCUCUUGCUUCUCUAUCUAUUAUUGUCUAAAGAGUCAUCUCUGGAAACACCAGACAGAAAUUACUGCUAGAGAAAAAGGGAAAACUAGCACCUUCACCCCCCAAGGAAGUCCCUUCCUACAAUUGAUUUAAGUUACAAUAUCCUUGCUUCACCUUGGGGACCACCACCUUCAGCACGCCAUUCUCCAUCACCGCCUUGAUCUCCCCGAGCUUGUACGGGUACGGCGGCAGAUUCAGCCUGCUGGAGUACCUCCUCCUGCUCUCCUCCGACUCCUUCUCGCCCUCGCCCUUGAUCGUCAGGGUGUUCUGCUCCACCGAGACCUUCACAUCCUCCCUGCCCAGGCCGGGCAUGUCCAGCCGGAGGAUGAGGACGCUGUCGUCCUCCUUCACGUCCCAGCCCCUCCUCCAUCCGGCAGCCCCCAUGCCCAUGAACUGGUCCAUCUGGUUCAGCACCUGGCUCAGGCUCCGAGUCGGCCACAACAGAUCAGACACAUCUGUCGGCCGAUCAGCAAUAUUGUAUAUACAUGAGAAUGCUUCACUAAACAGAACUACAUCAAAGGGAAAGCGACCUCAUAGAACGAUCAAUGCUCGAUCAUCGAAUACGUAAAGCCACUAGGCUAGCGUAGGGAAUGCCAUUCACACACAAAGGAAACAGAUCGGCAAUCAACACAUGUGUCGAACGAUCGGCAAUCCAAUAUUCAUGAGAACGCUUCACAAAGCAGAACUACAUCAGACAGAAAGCGAUCUCGUGAAACAAUCAAAUGCUCGAUCAUCGAAUACGUAAGUGCUACUAGGCUAGCGCAGAAACGUCACUUAUGAACAGAGAAAACAGAGGGGCAAUCAACCAGCUGAGGACCUCAUCAUUGCGACAGACAGCGAUCCUAAACACCAGGAAAACGAGUGCUAAGAUAACAACAAGCCUGAAAACAGACCAAGGUCCUGGUCCUGGUAGCGGGGGGCGGUGGGGCGAUCGGAGCCGCCCUCGACCUCGACCUCGACACGGCUCUUGACCUCGACGCUGUCGUCUUCAUCGUAACACCGCACCCGAGAGCUGGUUUUGAUGGAGCGAGCAACGUGAGGGGCGACGGAGGCGGCGCGGAGCGGGUUGCUCAGCCUGGACAGGAGGCCCGACGAGGCGGCCGCGGUGGCGGUGGCGGUGGCGGUGGCGGUGGCGGUGGCGGUGGCGGCGGCAGCCCUCCGGAGAGCGAGCGAAGACGCCAUCCUUUGUCGAUCGCGCUUGGAGCUUGCAGGAGAAUUUCGAGAGUGAGCUACCGACUGGCGUUCGACGAGUAGCGAAGCUUUCUUGAUUCGGUUGGGAGGGGCUUGGGGACGUUUAAAUAGGAGGAGGGCGAUUGCUUGGGGAAGGGGAAAAGACAGAGACAGAGAGAGCGCGCCAUUGUUGGCUGUCUGGAAUCCAAAUCGCAUCUGAUAUUUUUGUUAAUCCGUUCGCCACGGGAUUUAGCAAUCCGUGGACUGAUCCACGACGAUUCGAUCGAAUGGAAAUCGGGCCCCGCCAAGUACUGCCAUUCAUGGACUUAUCGGGUUGACCUGUGUCUCUUACCUUAAUUAUACACGUGUCGAACGAUGAAUAGAUUGUUUUAUAUUUUCUCGUCAUUUGAAUUUUUCUUUUACGAUGACUAUAUGUUGGUAAGAUUUUAAGAUUCGAAUCUAAAUCUUAAGAACCAUGUGGACUGAAAAUAAUAUUAAAGAAUGUAUUUUGAAAGGAUCUUAGUUUCCACCAAAAAAUUUUAUUUUAAAAAUAUAUAUGUGAAUAAAAAGAAUAUGCAAACUCAUGUUGCUAACUAGGGAUAAGGAUGGUCCGGGUUAGGCCGGUCCACCCUCUAACUCUAUGACUAAUCCGUACAGUACUGGUCCUCAAUUUUUAGGACCGAGAACCGACUCUAUUGAGCUUAUUGGGUCGGUCCGAUCAAUCGACAAUUUUUUAUUUCAUUUUUGUAUUCCUUAAAAAAACAAUUGAAGACCGGACUGACCCAAUGGGUUCGGUUCGGUUUCAAAGUCAACCCAAGACCAAUCAAUAAUUUUUUAUUUCAUUUUUUGUACUUCUUGAAAAGGCAACCGAGAAUCGUACUGACCCAAUAGAUUUGAUGAUGAGCAAACUCUAAGGAAGGCAAGCGGUGAGGAUCAAGUGGGGUGAGCGUCAAAUAAAAUGAGCAUCGAAUGUCGAGCGAGAAGCAACAAGCCAAGCAAGCAUUAAGCGGCAAGCGGCACGAGUAACUCAAAGCGAACAAUGCGAGUGUCAAGUGGCGAUCUUUCGAUUUUGGCAAAUUGAAGACGAAGAUGACAAAUAAGAUAGAAGAGAACCAAUAUUAGAGAAGGAUGCAUAAGGUGCAUUUUUUAACGUCGUGAGGACUCCUCACAAAAACAUUUUAUUUAGUAAAUUAUGACUAUUGACGUCGUAAAAGAUAUUAAAAACCUAAAUUGUUAUUUAAAAUUACUUGAAUUCCUCACUAAAAAGCUGUUUAAUGUUAUUGAUGCCGUUUAUUUUAAGAUUUUCUCUAUAUAAAAAAAUAAUAUUAUAUAUAUAGAGUCGAGGUUGGUUCGGAUUAAGGACCAACUAGUACAGUGCUGGUCCAAGAAUUCUAGGACCAAGGACCAACCCAAUCUUCCUAGGAACCGGACAGGAGUGGUAGGGUUGGGCCAAUCCAGGGUCGGUCCAGGGUUGACCCUGAAUCAAUGCUCACCCCUAUUGCUAACAUAAACUUUUUGGUCAUGUAACAAUUUCUUCAUAUUUCAAUUUCUUUCAAGAUUCAAUAGAAUCAAGGGCAAUUUUAACGUGCCGUGCGUGACAAAAUUUUUAAUGGAUUUGAUUAUGUUGGCCAAUUGAGUGGUAAUUGUUGGAACAUAGUUAUAUCGCUAAAAAUAUACUGCUCCAUAUCAAAGCCAUUUAACAAACUGAUAUAUGAAAAGUUUAUUUGAACGUGCGCAUCAAUUCAUUGAAGGGUGGUCGAUAUUGCAAAGAACUCCACCGGUUUAUCGGGCCAAGACACGAGGCAGUGAGCGGCUAGUGUUCGGAUAACGAGGUACGAGCGUGUGCAAUAUUUUCUUCUACUUUCGAUGCGAAGAAGACCAUCUGUCAGUUACCCAGCGGAGCUGGCACCAACAUGGAAUGGCCACGAAACCUUCAGCUGUCCAUUCUCCUCAGAGGAACUGAGAAGGUUGCAGAGACUUCAGGCAAAGACCAAAAGUCCAAGUCUCCUCCCCCAAGUGUUCCCUAUUUUAACCCCCCCUUCUUCCCCGCAUCCUCCACCUGCGUCCUCUGUUUCUUCUCCGUGUUUCCUCGGAAGUUCCCUUCUCGUUCCCUUUUGAGGUUUAGUUGGUUUCUGGGUUUUUUUUUGCCUGCGACCAUCUAGUAAUCGCUGGUUAAUCAUAUUGCGAUGCGGUUUUUCCAUGAUGACUUGUGUCGUCAAUUCUUCACAGCUCAUCAGAGACCUAAACCAUAGAAGAGGUCCAGGUGCAGGAAAAGACUUAACUAUUUCGAGUGUGUUAGGUAAUUUUUCAUCUUCAGAAAUAAUUUUUAUUUAUUUUUAUUAUUUAUAUUUUCGAACGAAAAAUAAUUUUUUUUUUAUUUCAAAUAUAUUCUCUACUCAGUUUUUAUUUCAGAGAGUAUUUCAGAGAGUAGAAAAUUUAGGUAAUAUUAUCAGACGGAUUUUUGUAUUUUUUUUUUUUCUGAUUUGGAGAACAAAAGAACAGAAAAAUAGACCCAAACAAACCUUUGACACCAAUCCGAGACCUAAUUCUGCAGGUUCUGGGAGGAUUCAUUGCUGAUUUUCGGGUUUGGAACUGAAUCGAAUUCUUUGCGUUAAGGAAUUUCCUUUUAGCUUUUACAUUGUGUGUCCAAAGUCAAGAAUUUAACUUUGGGCGCCACGUAAAUAACCUUAUUUGGCUCCUAUAGAUAAAGAAGAAACUUUGCUCCUUUUUUUUUUUUUAUUCUCUUUUAUUUCUUCUUUUGUAAACUUUCAUGGAGUCCAACGAAUCUCCGGCUAACCGAAGACAUCCAAGACCUAAAAAGAAUUUUGAAUUUCUUUUCUUGUGCGUAAUCUUGAAUAUUAUCUUUAUCAGAAAAAAUAUCUUCACGAACAACCACGUAAAAAAUUUAACCAAGCGGAUCAUGUUUUGCAAAUACUUAAACUCGAUACAUAAUUUAACAAAACCGAUCGACCCGGUUAGGUGACAUAAUCAUGAUGUCACCGGCACGUGCCCUCCGCGUGUACGGGCAACCGCCAAUUGAGCUGGCAUGUGUGACUCGUGCACGGGGCGAUUACCUUGCACGUGGCUCGCGCACGCUAGAGAUUGCCAACGCAAAUCGCCUCGACGCGUGUGAGGCCAUUUCUUCUUGCCAUGCGUGGCACUGCGUCCAACGGCUCCUAACAGCAAGCCACUCAUCAUUUUUCUUGUCUCGACGAGAACUACGACCCUACACUAUCAUAAACGAGUUUUGAUUCACUAAAAAUCAAAAAGGGGGACGAACGGUAUGGGAUGUUGGGAUUUCUGUCGCCGAGCGUCCGACGGCGGCGUUUCUCGAAAUUUCAACCAAAAGCAAUUUAUAAAUAUCAACAAUGAUCGGGAAUAUGAACAGCAUCACUCUGAUACCAAUGUAGGGAAACAUAUUCCUAAAAAAAUCCUAUACUCAAACGAUCGAAUAUCAUAAACAAACGUGGAAACGUGCCCGGAAACAUGUUACACCGAUCUAAGGCAUAUGACGAAGUCGAACAUACCUUAAUUGCCACAGAUUAAGUACCGUCGCAGAUGAGAGAGGUGCGUACUAUUUCAAAAGGAGAAAAAUAAAGAAAUGUAUUUUUCUUUUGAAAAUGCAAUUGUUCAAAUAUCCUCUUCUUUACUUUUUUUUAUUAUUUUAUAUAUUACAGUAACUACACCCUUUUAUGGACCAUUCACUUACGGGCUAGGUUUUGGCCCAACAUGGGCAAAUGGGUUUAAUUUGGCCCAUCAAAUAUAAAACCCGUCAAAUUGAUUGAGCAAGAGAGAAACAAGCACGGGUCAGGUUUAUCAGGAAUUGACUCCCAAUGUUUUGGUAAUUUUUCUCCCUUACAGUUUGGCGAUUGAGAUUGUUUUUUCUUGAUUACUGAUUAGUUGGGUUGCUUCCCCUUUGUAGGGGGGCUUCGAGUUCGAAGGGAUGGAGAGGGAGGGAUGGAGCUCUACUGAAGGACAAUGGAUUCCAGAGGAGGCGAUACUACAAAUUUUGUCAGUUUAGACUUUUGAUCGUACUUAUAUGUAGACCUUGCCUUAUGGCUGAUUGGGAGAGCCAGGACCAUGCUAUUGGGUUGGCAAGAUUUGGAUUCUAAGG
This 8096-nucleotide long non-coding RNA is filed under the name Eucalyptus grandis. Its description in RNAcentral is "long non-coding RNA (EGRA_LNC002454)". Lineage: Eukaryota; Viridiplantae; Streptophyta; Magnoliopsida; Myrtales; Myrtaceae. The record is from RNAcentral.